UUUUUUUUUUUUUUUUUGGUGUGUGAAGGAUGAAUUUGCAUCAUUCUGAAAGUGAAGGACUACAAAUGUAUAGAUGCAAUAUUUGAAGGACUAUUUGCUCAAUUAUCCCAAUAAUUUAUCAUCACAUGGUCAAAUCCAUCGACCUCGAAAUUCUAAACCUAAAAACAAAAAUCUCCGUCUUAAAUUGUACUUUGCAUCAAAAUUUCGAUUACCUCUAAGUGUUAAUCUACCUUUGCCGUGUUAUUUCCAGUAAUUUCGAUGGUUGAAAAAAAAAAACAAAAAUAUCAAGUGGACUCACUUUCUGAUCAAACUUCAUUCGUACGCAUGCAAUAUCCACUAUUACCUAACAUCUAAUGACUAGUUUGGUCCAGCGUUUGGUCCAUCCUAGGAUGUUAAACUGUUAAACCACAACCACAACCUAUUUAUUUAUUAUUUAAAAGUGGGACAGAAACAUCCAAAUAAUCUAGAAUUUGUCAACGGCAUGAAAAUUAUCCAACAAGUAAACGAUUGGACAGGCAACUUGCUUGUUGGUUGACACAGACAAAGAUAAUUCCACUAACAAUCUGCCUAAUAUUUCCAAAUAAGACAAACAUUUAUAUUUGCUACUAGUAGUACUACGUCAAGACCGCUGAUCAUGCACCUGACUUUGCCUUCUCAUGUCGGUAGCAUUCUACCAAGUUCUCAGGAUUUCAAAGACCCUACGUACUCUACUGCAUAAUCAGGCAUGAAGUAAAUAAGGGUUAAUUUCAAAAACCUCCCCCGAGGUUCAUUCUAAUAUCGCCUAGCGCUUUCUUAAAGUUUUAAAAGUCUCACUUACCUAUCCUAUCAAUAUGAUGUUACUAGAUGUCCCGAUUAGAGGGAUUGAAAUAACAAAAUUACCCCCAAUGUUCUCCUACUUUUUUUUUAAGUAGCAAAAGGUUGAGAAAAGAUUUUUUUUUUUUUUUUAAAAAAAAUCCUACAAGCUAAAAUUUCAAAAAACAAAUAAUAAGAAUGCGAACUAAAAUAUUUUGCUCCCUCUUUGUUGCAAAAAUCUAUACUUUUAAUUUUCAUCUUUGCCACAACUGAUCUCCUAAAAUUUUCAUUCUAAUUUUCCUCUUUGCAGCAAAAUUUUUGUGUCUCUUUGCUACAAAAUCUUUGCUCUUAAUUGCCAUUUCUAACCUCUUGAAGUUUUUUUCUUUUUAUAAUGUUGAAGUAGUUUCAGAAGCUUCCCUUGCAGGCACAGUAAUCUCUAGUUAUGAAAUGACUUUUAGGUUGUGUUUGGAUUGCAUUUUUUUGGAUUUUUUGUAAAAAAAAAUUACUGUAGCAAUUUGAUGUAUGUGAGGUAAAAAUGUAAUAGGGAAAUGUGUUCACAGAAAACGUAGCAAUUUUUCUGCGAAAAAUGGCUGUCCAAACAAGGUCUAAAUUUAUUACUUAUUGCUCUUACACCUUCUCAUAGUUUAAGUUUAGUAUUCCACCUUAUUUUUUUUUCAUAUUUCAACAUUCAUAAAUCAAAUUAAAUAAGGGUAAAAGUGGAAAGAUGAUAUAAUUUCUCUCCUCCAAUGCAUUUUUAAAUAUUAUUUUUACACAUAAGGGGUGACAAAAUGUUACAAAAAUUGUCAUUCCAGGGGAACUAUGUGAAAUUUCUGAAACUUUAGGGGUGUUAGUUGAAUGCUGAAUGAUGUAACUUCUUCCAUUGGUGCAGAUCUAUUCUUUGAUAUCUAUGGUGAAUGAUGAAUGAUGUAACUUCAGCCAUUUUCAGAACUAUUCUUUAAUAUCUGUGGUGAAUGAUGUAACUUUCAAAACUUGUUAUCCUACAUAUACAAAUUCGAGUAAUUUACAUGUUUAGUCCCUAAAUAAAAUUAAAAAAUCUCACAAAGUCCUCUCAAGGUGUAUUUUGAACUAUUGAGUCCCUAAACAAUUUCUUAAUAUUUCAUGAAAUCCUCAAGUAUUAUAAUAAACUUUUUUUUAGUCCAUAUGCUUUUCAAUUUGUACCAAAGUAGUCCUUCGUCUGGGUCAAUGAGUGCUUUCCAAAACCCUCCCCCCUCCCAAAAAGAAGUAAAAAAGAUGAAAAAGUGAGCCAAUUGAGAAUUUAUGAGAUUCAAUUCCACAAAAUCACCAUAUUCUUAUCUUGCAAAUGUGGUGUUCAUAUGAGUCAAAGGAACUUUGUGAGUUUUUAUCAUUCAUAGCCCCCAACGUUGCUGACCAACUUAUGCAUCAUACUCAACAUGUACAUUCUUGAAAUUGGUCCGUGGCUUCGAUAGGCAAGCAAAUAUGAGCAGUGAUUUUGGAUUGUUCUGAUUUUCUACACCCUCUUCUUUGGUUUUUCUUUAGCUCAAUUUGGUUUUUUUUUUUUAAAAAUAAAUAAAUAAACAAAGCCGGAAAGCAAAAGAGUUCAGAACAAAACUUGAGGGACUUCUAAAACUUAAGGAACAAAGGUGACAUUAUUCACAAAUCUUGCAGUUCAAGAAUGUGGAUCCAAACACAACUAUUGUGCAGAAAUUUCUUACAUGCAUUGCUUGAAGUUACAAUAAUAGUAAACUUGUAUAACUGAGGCCCAAAAAUAUUUGUAAUUAAUCCUGUUUUUAUAUGUGCAUUUAAUUGGCAGACAUCAUUUUCAAUAUACUUCAGCAGUUCAACUCUAUGUGAUUUACUCAGGUUAAAUAUGUUCCAAAUGAAUCAACCAUAUGUGUAUAUUUAUAGUUAGAAAUCAUCAAAAUAAAUGUAAGCCAUUAUCUAUUAGGGCCUACAUCUGUGAACAUCUGGAAAAACUUCUGUUCUUCUAAGUCAGCCUGUCCAAUUCAGUUCAUAAAGACUAGGCACUAAGGAGCAGUCAGUUCAUAAAAACUAGAAGUAUAAUUAGUUUAGUUAGGAAGCAUUCAGAUUCUGCCAUUGACAUCUCCAUCUUUACAGCAAUCAGUCCUCAUCCAACAUUAAAACAAACGAAUCUUGUCAAUGUUCAAAUGCAGCAGAAUUGUGUUUGGUCAUCCAUUCUUUGCAUGAACAAGGUGACUGUCAUUUUUUAUGAGUUUACUCUGUCUUUUUCUCUUCAGAAAACCAGAAAUUACUCCAGAGCUUUUAGGUCAAUAUUAACCUCUUUCAAGAAGGAAAAGAAUACCAAAGUGAUGGUCCUUUUUCUUGCAGAAAAUUUUGUGUUUCCUCAAAGGACCUCUAAUGCUUCACCUAAUCCUCUUUAACCCGGUCGUCGUUAGAAUUUAGAAACGUGGAUGGUUGUCCAGAGAAACUGACGCUUUGGACUUCAAAGUCAAGAUUCUUCAGUAGGAAAGAUAUUGGAAAACAAAAAGUGGGAGAUUUUGCAGGAAUCGCUUUUUUUGGAUUGCAGUUUUCCAAGAAAAAUUUUUAUGUAUUUUUUUAAUCAUAUUUCUUAUUCACCGUUUUACCUCAUAGACAUGAAACAUACGUCUAUUCUAUUCGCUACAUUAUAUUUUUCUAAAGAAACUCAAAAAUAGCAAUUGAAAUGAGUAAAUUUGAUAAAAGUUUAAUUAACCUCUAGACUGCUUUCAUGCCAUUGCAACUUACCCUUGAAUGACUUUUAUCGUUCAUGAUGAUCGAUAUGGAAAAAAAAAAAAAAGGGGCAAAUUGAAACUUAAGAUGUCACUAGAAUUCACUUUGGCAUUAAAAACAAAUUUUGCAAAACUGUUUCACCUAAUCGAUCGUGGUGAACUCAACAAUGGACUCAGGGAAUCAUUCAUGUCACGCUAAGAUUUGGAAAAAAAAAAACCAAAGCAAAGGUUUUUUCCGAGGUUUUUAUUCAAUUAUAAAAAAAAUAUUUUGAUUAUUCUAUGGAGAUUUUUCAAAGUAUAAGAGUUGAUCGUUAGAUUGUCAAUCCAAACAUACUCUUUACAGUGACAGUGUAUCGAUUUUGGGUGGAAAAAAAAAUCUAAAUCACAACAGAAAAGUUGCUUUUUUCAUAGCCCUAACCUUACUAAAAUUGAGAUUUAACUUGAAAUUGAUGAUAAUCAACUUUCACAUGUUGGCAAGUCCAGUGAAAACAACACUUUUUUUUUUCUACUUUAAUGUUGAUCAAAAACUGCAGCAUUGAGGUAAACAACCCGAGUCUUAUAUUUCCCACACAUUUAACGGUUAACCCAAACUCGACUUAUUUUUGGGUCAACAUUUCCCCCAAUGGGCCUCCUUAACACUUUGCCAUCCCAAUUUUGAUGCAGCUGUGAUUACUGAUUUGAACCCUUUUGGCUGUCUCGAGAAGCCAACGGCAACCGUGAAAGCUUCAUAAUGCAAGUUCUGAAACUCUACUCCAAGCUACUGAAUCAUGUGAGAACCAAAUGUGGGAUUUUUUUCAAUACGGAGGAGUGGAUUUGAGCAUAAGUUUGACAAGCUUCCACUAAAUAGUUGAAUGAUCUUUAAAGAGUCAUCAAAGAAAGCAUGCCACCAUUGUAGCUCACAGGUGACAAAUUACUAGAAUCAAGCAAUUUCCAUUUCUUAACUUUAGCUUUUGAGGAGCCAGCAAUCACAAUCCAUCAAAACCCGGUACAAGUACAAUUUUCAAAAUGUAGCCAUAUAGAUAUAUAUUAAGAAUUAACUCUAUACAAAUGGGUUAAAAGUUACAACUAGCACACUAACUACAUUCUUGAACCACAUCCCAAAACACCAUUGGUUCUUGUUUUCUGCACCCAAGUGUGCCAUUGCCAGUCUGUUAACAAAACAUGACUCUAGGCCAAAUUCUAAUCUGUUAGUGGUUUUAACUUCCACAAGCCAUGCACUCUUCCCUGUUUGCUAGGGAGCAUACCAUCUGGGCCAUUUUACUAUCAUCAUCAGCAGUUGUCUUUGGUUUAUCCUGCAUCAAAUACGUAAAUGCAGCACCUCAGCAAAACAAUACAGGUUAAAUGUGACAGUUGGGUUUUGUAGUUUAGCAGUACUUACCUUAAGCAUUGCAGUGUCUACUGUGAAUUUGAUGGCAUCCGCUGCAGCUCGUGAGCGCAGAUAAUACAUCCCUGUUUUUAAGCCCUUGAUAUCCACAUACACCAAAAAUUUGAGACAUAAGGUGUGAAAUACAGUAGUUUUGGACAAAGAAAUAGUUAGUUCUUGAAAACUGAUCUACUUGUGCUGCACCAAUGAUUAUAGCUUUGACUUUAUCAUACGAUUAAAAACACUAACCAAACACUUUCUAUUAUAGUAGUCCUUCAAACAUGGAACACUCGUAGCAUGACAUGUACAAAUAUUUCUUACAUAAAUUCAUAAAUUUAGUGAUGUUAGUAUUCAAACUCUUAAUUAACAUCACCCUCAACUAAUCAUUGUAUUGAUCCAACUAUACCUUUGACCAAGCAUGAAAAUGAAGCGAUGUAAGCUUCCCAAAGUUGGGUUGGUCCAUAUGAAUGUUAAGACUUUGACUUUGGUCUAUGUAGCAUCCACGAUCUACAGCCAUAUCAACCAAUGUCCGCUGUUUGAUCUCCCAAACAGUCCUGUUAGUACCAAAUUGAGUCAGCAUGUUGCAAUAAGGAAUGUGAGAAAAUAGGAAAAUAAGGCGUGUAAGAGCUCCAAAAUAAGAAGCAUACUUGUAUAUGGCUUUAAGAUCUUCAUGAAUUUCAGGGAUUUUCUGUACAGAGCCAUCCUCAUAGAUUAUCCUAUUCUUAAGUGCUGGAGUCCAAAGACCCAUCUCAGUUAAGUCAUGAAGCAGAUGCUUAUUCACCACAACAAACUCCCCACUGGAAGAACAGUAAAACACUCGGAUGUCAGCAAAUAAUACUCAAUUCAGAGUGCGCUCAAAUAGCAUCAAGAAAAUAUACCUUAGAACCCUGCGACUAUAGAUGUUGGAUGUAUAUGGCUCAAAGCACUCAUUAUUUCCAAGAAUCUGACUAGUAGAAGCAGUUGGCAUUGGUGCUAUAAGAAGUGAAUUUCGUACUCCAUUUGUUGCAAUCAUUGCCCGUAGAGCAUCCCAAUCCCACCUACUUGAAGGUGUUACUCCCCACAUGUCUGGCUGAAGAAUUCCCUGCAAACACAGUGGCCAGUGAUUACCCAGUAGAAACAUUGCAGAGAUGAAGAUAUCUUAGCUCAAAUACUUGCUCCAACUUUUUUAGCAUAACCAAGGGCUGCUCAAAAUGGAACUAGUAACUAUGUUGAACUUGUUUCAUCAUUUCAACCACAUAAAGACAAGGACUUUAGUUUGAAGAAGUCCAAUAACUAGCAGUAAUAAUUCCAGAUAUGCCAAAGCAAAAAACAAGCACAAAAGCACAUGUAAACCAGAUCGACAUAAAAAGUUAGUAACUAAACAAUAAGACAUCAUAUGACUACUGGUGUCACUGUAAGGAAUCUUUAGAAUACCUUGCUCACAGGACUUCCAUCAUAAGUUUCAUAUGGGCCAUCUUUAGCAGCUAAUUCAGAAGAAGAUUUUAAUGCAUAAUAGUAUAUGGUCUCAAAUAUGUCCUUGUUCAGCUGUUGAGCCUGUCAGAACAAUUGGCUGCAUGAUCAGACUGCAGUGAAUCAGAAAUUCCAGCAAAUAAGCAAAAGGUACAAAAUUUACCUCAGGUGAGUCAAAGGCCAUGCCAAGCAAUAUGAAAGUGUCAGCAAGGCCCUGGACUCCAAUGCCAAUGGGCCUGUGUCGAAAGUUGGAUCGCUUUGCAGUAUCAACAGGGUAGUAAUUGAUGUCAAUUAUUUUGUUCAGAUUUGAAGUAACUAUUGCAGUAACCUGUUUCAAAGAACAAACCAAAGCCAAAUCCACACUUCAUGUUUAUGACAAACGCUCAUAUUUCAAAGCAACAGGAAAUUAAUGGAAUAAAUAUAACCUCUGCUAGCUUGUCAAAGUCAAAGAAUCGAUUUGCAGAACCUCUGCUGCCAACAAGUUUGGACGGUUGUGAUUCAGAUGUGAAUCCCUACAAAAAUAAAAUAAAUAAAACAGCCCUUGCUCAAUAAUCAAUUAAGGGAAUUUUUAGAAAGAGCAACUUUAAUUGAAAACAUCUGCCUAUGAUAACUACCUUUUCUCUAACAUAUCGUGGCAGAGCAAUUGAAGCCAAAUUGCACACAGCAGUUUCUGUAGGACUUGUGUAUUCAAUGAUCUCGGUACACAAGUUAGAAGAUUUAAUUGUCCCCAGGUUCUGCUGGUUGCUUUUUCUAUUGCAAGUAUCCUGAGAGAAAGCAAACAAAAAGGUGGGUAGAAUAACUCACAAACAAGCAUAAGCGCCAAAUUUAGCCAUAAGAAAUGCCCGAACUCCACUAACCUUGUACAGCAUGUAAGGUGUUCCAGUUUCAAUCUGGGAUUUCAGGAUUUCAAACCAGAGAUUCUGUGCCUGAACAACUUUUUUUGCCUUACCCUAUGAAAAGAAGUCACUCUUAGAUAAAACCACUCCCAGAGAAUGCAAGGACAAACUAGUAAUAUCUGAUUGUCUGGCUAUAUACCUGUUUUUCAUAUUGAGUGUAGAGCCUUUCAAAUUCUGUGCCCCAGCAAUCAGCCAACCCAGGGGCCUCAUUUGGGCAAAACAAGGUCCAUUGUUCAUUCUUCUGUACUCUUUCCAUAAAGAGAUCAGGCACCCAGAGAGCAUAAAACAGAUCUCGAGCCCGGUGCUCUUCCUGCAAACCAAGAAACUCUCACUGCCAAUUAGCCAUUAAUCAAACAAAAAUCCAAAAGCAUCAAAGUACCAUCAAAAGCUAAUUAAAAUACAGACUAUGUACAUGGUUGGAUUCAUAUGAUUAAUAUGUAGAGUCAUGCAUACAACUGAGUCAACAAAUCAACCACAUACCUUCCCAUGGUUUUUCCUUAAAUCCAAAAAUUCAAAGAUAUCAGCAUGCCAUGGCUCCAGAUAUACAGCAAAUGCACCUAUUGACAGUAGAAAGCUGAAAUAAAUCAAAUAGAGGAACCACCUUAACAAGGGAUAUACCAGAGGGCACAUAAAACUGUUGCAUACCCUUCCUCUUGCCACCGCCUUGAUCAACAUAACGAGCAGUAUCAUUGAAUACUCGCAGCAUUGGAACAAUACCAUUGGAUGUUCCAUUUGUUCCACGAAUAUAACUUCCUGUGGCACGGAUGUUAUGAACAGAUACACCAAUGCCCCCAGCUGAUUUGCUGAUAACAGCACAUUCCUUGAGGGUAUCAUAAAUGCCCUCAAUACUAUCCUCUUUCAUGCACAACAGGAAGCAGCUACUCAACUACCAUCCACAGCACAUAACCAUGUUAGAACGCAUAUUGUUGGAGGCACAAAUCAUAUGGAAACUGAAAAUGAGAAUAUCUCAGAGAUGCAGAACUAAAAAGAUUAAUUUUCUUGCAUAGUACAGUCAAUGCAAGUGUAACUUCUAAGUUUCAAAAUUUAGCUUACUUGUGGCCUUGGAGUUCCAGCAUUAAAAAGGGUAGGAGAAGCAUGAGAAAACCAUCGCUGAGACAUCAGGUGAUAAGUUCUUAAAGCAGAAUCAAUAUCAUCCUUGUGGAUUCCAACAGCUACCCUCAUCAACAUAUGCUGUGGCCUUUCAACAACCUUUCCUUGGACUUUUAAGAGGUAAGACCGCUCAAGUGUUUUGAAGCCAAAGUAAUCAUAGUCAAAGUCUCGGUCAUAAAUGAUCUCACUGUCCAGACGAGCAGCAUUCUGAAACAAACAUUACAUCAAUUAUGCCACUUGAGAAUACAGGAAUACAAGCUAAAAAUAUAAUAUGAAAACCUGCAAUCAACUGAAUCUUCUCGAUUGGCUUAUGUUUGGUGCAACAUGCACAAAUGUGUACAUCUGUGUGUUUCAGAGGCAGAGCAUCAACAGAAUGCCAAAAAGGAUUUCUUACCUUCAUGAUUAUCUCAUAAACAUCAUCAGCAAUCAAAGGAGCUUUAAGGCCUGAUCUUUCACUGACAUGGCCAUACAUGUCCUUGACCCUGCAGCCACCACAGGAAGAUUUAAAAAUUAUGUGAUAUAUUUCAAACUCAAAAUUCAAACCUGAUAUAUAGAAUUGGCAAAAUCCCACAAGGACUCACGUCUCAGAAAAUGAUUUCUUGGUGUUUUUGUGCAGAUUUGAAACAGCAAUUCUUGCAGCCAACUGUUGAAAACAAUAAUCAACAGUAAGUAAAGCCAAUAUUAGCUUCCAUUCCAACCACAAACUCUCAUACUGAUGACAAAUGUGUAAAAAUUACUAGUUCACUUAAUCUACCCAUCCGUCAACAAUUUGACCCCGUAGCCAACAAUAAUCAAUAUAAGCAACAACCACACAACAUAAACACCACAAAAAACUCAACAUCCUCAAGUGGGUUUGGCUACUAUUCAUUCAUUGCGCAAUUCAUUCAACCGGAGAGAACCAGAUAACUCAAAAUCAUUACAAUAAAUCAUAUAAUUAGAAAAGAUAUAGAUCUAGAACAUGCUCAUAUGAGUACAUCAACACACACAUAAAACAGAAUCUGCAAUAAAGUUAACAGAGCCUUGAACCAAAACAGCAAAAAUCGAUAAUCCAAGUUGAGAAAAAACAAAAUCCUUAAUCAAUUAAUUAACCAUCAUAUAGAAUCCAAUUGUUAAAAGAUCUGAUCACAAUUAGAGAAACAAAAGAAAAAAUGGAAAGCCCAGAAGGAGAUUUUACAGAAAACUACUCACUGAAGCAUAAUCAGGGUGGUUAGCAGUCAUGGCCGCGGCGGUCUCAGCAGCCAACUCAUCAAGCUGACUAGUAGUAACCCCCUUGUAGACGCCGGCGCAGACCUUCUGGGAAACCAAAACCGGGUCGCAGUGGUCGCUGCUGAGCCCAUAACUCAACUUCUUCAACCGGGCAGUAAUCUUGUCAAAAUGCACAGCUUCUUGCCUCCCAUCUCUCUUCACCACAUACAUCUCUUCUCAAAAUUAGCAAAACGGAUAACUGCCUUUUCUCUGGGGAAUUUCGUCAAACGGCUUAGAGGCUACAGAGCAAAAUGACGAUAGAAGAUGGCAUAUAUAUAUAUAGUGGGAAAAACAAGAAACCGGCUUUUUAAAUUUGAAAUCUGUACUUAAAAAUUGAAAGGGUCUACUGGGCUUCUGGUUUUUCCCUCUAAAAAAGAAGAAUUUAGACGACGGGAUUUGAAAUUUUCCCGCCAAGAAGCAGCAAGGUUUGGUGGCGGGCACUGAGGAAAAGGCGCCUGCAGUGCUGGUUGGACUGGAUGGGGGUGGAGCAGGAGCUGGGGUCCACUUGGGCGUGCUUUUUUCGCCUUUUACAACUAAUGCUGAAAAGGAAAGAAUGGAAGUGAUUAGGCUAAUACGCAUCGAAAGGCACAAUGGGGAUAUAUUUACGUUCAUGUACCACAAUUGUUGUGAAUGAAUGGGGGGUGGAAGUAAAGCUUCCAUUGAAAGUUUUGGAAACGUUGGACCUGAUAAAACUUGGCGUUUGAAUUUCAAGAUUCAUCCUUCUUGUGGAAGCUUGGGAGUUGGAACGGUAGUAAUCAAUUGGUUUCUUUAUAUUUUUUUUUUCUUUCUUGGGACUAUUUACAAAGUUGGGGAAGUCAUCUUACAAGUCACAAUUUUUGGAUCAGAGAUUAUUAAAAAAAAGAAUGUUUGUCGAAAUGAAAAGAUAUUUAUGAUGCAAUUAUAAAAAAUUCCCGAUUGGAUUGCUAUUUUCUUGAGUUUUUGUAGAAAAAUAUACGAUAGCAAUUUAAUGUAUGUAAAGUAAAAGAUGAUCGAGAAAUAUAUUUAUAAAAAAACGUAAAAUUUUUUUGAGAAAAAAUAACAAUACAACGUACCAUCCAAGCAAACCUGGCUCUUUUCUCGAAAAUUUUCUGAACAAAUGGAAAAACAAAAAAUGAAGGCGAGUUCUUGAUAUGCGGAAAUAAUUACACUUAUUGAAAUUUACAAUAAUAAAUCAUACAUUAAUUAAUCUUUGUAGAUUUAUUAGAUGAAGUGUUCAACGAGAGUGACAAUUAAGUGCAACAAUAUAUAGGCCGGCAUAGAUUUCUCUAGUUGUGUUAGCCUUUCUAUGCCAAAUGUCCUUUUUUAACCUCAAAAACAGUAAAAGACCAAUAUCAAAAGAGACAUUUUGUCUCAUGCGUGAUAGAACAAAACACGUUAGUCUGAUUUAGAUAUAACAAAACACGUUGGUGUGAUUUAGGGCUGCUCACGGCCAGCAGAUCAAUAUCGAGAUCGAGUUCAAAAAUAUUAAACUUGUUAGACUCGCUAGUUCGAUUAUAUAUAUAUUUUUUUUAUUUUUUAUUUUAAUGAUAAAAUUACAUAUAUAUAUAUCUCUAAUAUUUUAUUAUUUAUUAAAAAUUUAUUAUUUUAUUCAUUUUUAAAAAUAAAAUAAUUAUUUUUAUUUUUUAAAAUAAAAAAAAUUAUUAUUAUUUUAUUUUGUAAGCUCGAGUUCGAGCUUCAUAAAAUUAAUUAAAGAUUAAGCUCGUUUGCACCCUGUGAUUUGAGCUAGCCUCUUUAGAACCUAGAUACUGUGCAAAGGGGCGUAAAUUUUCUCAAUUACCAAUUGACAAGCAACAGUAUACAACCAGUGUGUGAAAUAUAUAGGUAUCUGGUUUCAUGCAAGUUUUCAACAGUCAACCAGAUUAAACUGUCGAGUUUAACUCUAGCUUCCUGUCAUCAACCAGGACUUCGGGUAUAAUACAAUGGAAUGGUUGUUAUAAAUCAAAAAAAUCACUACUCUGACAAUCAAACAAUUCUGUUUAGAGGGAUUCUUUCAUUUUGUCGAGCAACUCGGUCUGCAGGAGAUAUC
Molecule: long non-coding RNA, 11589 nt
Filed under: Coffea arabica (coffee)
Lineage: Eukaryota; Viridiplantae; Streptophyta; Magnoliopsida; Gentianales; Rubiaceae
Description: long non-coding RNA (CARA_LNC004970)
Source: RNAcentral